GCUCCGGUGGCCUAAUGGUUAGAGCGUCCGUCUCGAAUGCGGAAAGUCGCAGGUUCGAACACCUGCCGAGUCA
Molecule: non-coding RNA, 73 nt
Organism: Potamilus streckersoni
Lineage: Eukaryota; Metazoa; Mollusca; Bivalvia; Unionida; Unionidae
Source: the annotation of a GenBank genome assembly